RNAcentral lists this ribosomal RNA (1968 nucleotides) under human gut metagenome. RNAcentral's name for it is "bacterial LSU rRNA". It matches the Rfam family "Bacterial large subunit ribosomal RNA", at positions 809 to 2389 of the family's 2925-position model. The record is from RNAcentral.
GUGUGGGUAGGGGAGAAAUUCCAAUCGAACCCGGAGAUAGCUGGUUCUCCUCGAAAUAGCUUUAGGGCUAGCCUCGUUUUAGUCUUAUGGAGGUAGAGCACUGAAUUUCCGCGGGGGCGUCAAAGCUUACCAAAGAAUAUCAAACUCCGAAUGCCAUGUAGAUGAUGAACGGGAGUCAGACUGCACGAGAUAAGUUGGGCAGUCAAAAGGGAAAGAGCCCAGACCGCCAGCUAAGGUCCCAAAGUGUGUGUUAAGUGGAAAAGGAUGUGGGAUCUCCAAGACAACUAGGAUGUUGGCUCAGAAGCAGCCACACAUUCAAAGAGUGCGUAACAGCUCACUAGUCGAGAGGUCCUGCGCCGAAAAUGUCCGGGGCUGAAACACAACACCGAAGCUGCGGAAUUGCGAAUGCAAUUGGUAGAGGAGCAUUCUUAAUACCGACGAAGCUGUACCGGAAGGAGCAGUGGAGGGAUAAGAAGAGAGAAUGCCGGAAUGAGUAGCGAGAGAGAGGUGGGAAUCCUCUCGGCCGAAUAUCCAAGGUUUCCAGAGUAAAGCUGAUCUGCUCUGGGUAAGUCGGGGCCUAAGGCGAGGUCAAGAGACGUAGCCGAUGGACAACAGGUUUAGAUUCCUGUACCGCAUAUAAACAGAACUGUGGGGACGCAUGGGGAGAGCAUGGGCCGGGAAUGGAAAUACCGGUGCAAGCGAAGGAGGUGUGCAGCCGGCAAAUCCGCUGCAUGAGCCGAAAGCGUGACGCGGAGCGAAAUGAAAGUAGCGAAGCAUGUGAGCCCUGUGCCGAGAAAAGCCGCUAUAGCUUUAUAUGUGCCCGUACCGUAAACCGACACAGGUGGAUGAGGAGAGAAUCCUAAGGCCGGCGGAAGAAGUAUUGUUAAGGAACUCGGCAAAAUGACCCCGUAACUUCGGGAGAAGGGGUGCCCACGGGAGUGGGCCGCAGAGAAUAGGCUCAAGCAACUGUUUAGCAAAAACACAGGUCUAUGCGAAACCGAAAGGUGAAGUAUAUGGGCUGACGCCUGCCCGGUGCUGGAAGGUUAAGAGGAGAGGUUAGCGCAAGCGAAGCUUUGAAUUUAAGCCCCAGUAAACGGCGGCCGUAACUAUAACGGUCCUAAGGUAGCGAAAUUCCUUGUCGGGUAAGUUCCGACCCGCACGAAAGGCGUAAUGAUUUGGGCACUGUCUCGACAAUGCACCCGGUGAAAUUGAAAUACCAGUGAAGAUGCUGGUUACCCGCGCCAGGACGGAAAGACCCCAUGGAGCUUUACUCUAGUUUGAUACUGGGAUUCGGUACUGCAUGUACAGGAUAGGCGGGAGACUGAGAAGUAGUGACGUCAGUUGCUACAGAGUCGCUGUUGGGAUACCACCCCUGCAGUAUUGGGUUUCUAACCUGCGGGAGAAGCUACCGAACCCACGCACUUCGACUCGCAUGCCGCGGCUCAAAGCGCAUACCAUCGAUCGAAGAACGAUGUUUACCGCUUCAUCGGCGUUACGGCCGGAAAGCAUCGGAUGGCGUCCGAAAACCCGCGAAAUCAACUCUGAUUUCGUCAAGGCUCGCAUAUACGAACCCCCGAUUACUUCUGUUCGAGCUUGGCCUUGAGCAGAGCGCCCAAGUUGGUCGUACCGGAGCUGGCGUCGGAGUUAACGCGAUCGAGAGCCUUGCGGGCUUCGGCGGCAUCCUUAGCCUUGAUCGAGAGCUGGAUCGAACGGUUCUUGCGAUCCACGCUGGUGAUCAGAGCUUCGACUUCCUGACCAACGGUGAGCUGGGUGGUGGCAUCUUCAACGCGUUCGGAAGAGAUUUCGGAAGCGCGCAGGUAGCCUUCGGUGUCGUUGCCAAGAUCAAUCACGGCGCCCUUGGCGUCGACGCUCUUGACGGUGCCCUUGACGAUCGUGCCCUUCUCGUGACGGCCGGCGAAUUCGCUGAACGGAUCGCCGCCAAGCUGCUUGAUGCCGAGGCUGAUACGU